UCCUACGGGGGGCAGCAGUGAGGAAUAUUGGUCAAUGGUCGGGAGACUGAACCAGCCAAGCCGCGUGAGGGAUGAAGGUGCAGAGUAUCGUAAACCUCUUUUGUCAGGGAACAAAGGCGGGGACGUGUCCCCGGAUGAGUGUACCUGAAGAAAAAGCAUCGGCUAACUCCGUGCCAGCAGCCGCGGUAAUACGGAGGAUGCGAGCGUUAUCCGGAUUUAUUGGGUUUAAAGGGUGCGCAGGCGGUCUGUUAAGUCAGCGGUCAAAGCCCGGGGCUCAACCCCGGCCCGCCGUUGAAACUGGCAGG
RNAcentral lists this ribosomal RNA (305 nucleotides) under uncultured bacterium. Its description in RNAcentral is "bacterial SSU rRNA". It matches the Rfam family "Bacterial small subunit ribosomal RNA", at positions 337 to 640 of the family's 1533-position model. The record is from RNAcentral.